RNAcentral lists this non-coding RNA (24 nucleotides) under Arabidopsis thaliana (thale cress). Lineage: Eukaryota; Viridiplantae; Streptophyta; Magnoliopsida; Brassicales; Brassicaceae. The record is from RNAcentral.
GGUACAAAUGGCGUUCGUGGUGAG